Molecule: ribosomal RNA, 1446 nt
Filed under: uncultured marine cyanobacterium
Lineage: Bacteria; Bacillati; Cyanobacteriota
Description: bacterial SSU rRNA
Rfam family: Bacterial small subunit ribosomal RNA
Source: RNAcentral
GAGUUUGAUCAUGGCUCAGGAUGAACGCUGGCGGCGUGCUUAACACAUGCAAGUCGAACGAACCUUCGGGUUAGUGGCGGACGGGUGAGUAACGCGUGAGAAUCUGCCCUCAGGAGGGGGAUAACAGCUGGAAACGGCUGCUAAUACCCCAUAUGCCGCGAGGUGAAAUGAAUUUCGCCUGAGGAUGAGCUCGCGUCUGAUUAGCUAGUUGGUGUAGGUGAUGGCUCACCAAGGCAUCGAUCAGUAGCUGGUCUGAGAGGAUGAUCAGCCACACUGGGACUGAGACACGGCCCAGACUCCUACGGGAGGCAGCAGUGGGGAAUUUUCCGCGAUGGGCGAAAGCCUGACGGAGCAACGCCGCGUGAGGGAUGAAGGCCUCUGGGCUGUAAACCUCUUUUAUCAAGGAAGAAGAUCUGACGGUACUUGAUGAAUAAGCCACGGCUAAUUCCGUGCCAGCAGCCGCGGUAAUACGGGAGUGGCAAGCGUUAUCCGGAAUUAUUGGGCGUAAAGCGUCCGCAGGCGGCCCUUCAAGUCUGCUGUUAAAAAGUGGAGCUUAACUCCAUCAUGGCAGUGGAAACUGAGGGGCUUGAGUGUGGUAGGGGCAGAGGGAAUUCCCGGCGUAGCGGUGAAAUGCGUAGAUAUCGGGAAGAACACCAGUGGCGAAGGCGCUCUGCUGGGCCAUCACUGACGCUCAUGGACGAAAGCCAGGGGAGCGAAAGGGAUUAGAUACCCCUGUAGUCCUGGCCGUAAACGAUGAACACUAGGUGUCGGGAGAAUCGACCCCCUCGGUGUCGUAGCCAACGCGUUAAGUGUUCCGCCUGGGGAGUACGCACGCAAGUGUGAAACUCAAAGGAAUUGACGGGGGCCCGCACAAGCGGUGGAGUAUGUGGUUUAAUUCGAUGCAACGCGAAGAACCUUACCAGGGUUUGACAUCCUGCGAAUCUCUUGGAAACGAGAGAGUGCCUUCGGGAGCGCAGUGACAGGUGGUGCAUGGCUGUCGUCAGCUCGUGUCGUGAGAUGUUGGGUUAAGUCCCGCAACGAGCGCAACCCACGUCUUUAGUUGCCAGCAUUUAGUUGGGCACUCUAGAGAGACCGCCGGUGAUAAACCGGAGGAAGGUGUGGAUGACGUCAAGUCAUCAUGCCCCUUACAUCCUGGGCUACACACGUACUACAAUGCUACGGACAAAGGGCAGCAAGUUCGCGAGGACAAGCAAAUCCCAUAAACCGUGGCUCAGUUCAGAUCGUAGGCUGCAACUCGCCUACGUGAAGGAGGAAUCGCUAGUAAUCGCAGGUCAGCAUACUGCGGUGAAUACGUUCCCGGGCCUUGUACACACCGCCCGUCACACCAUGGAAGUUGGCCACGCCCGAAGCCGUUACUCCAACCCUUGUGGAGGAGGACGUCGAAGGUGGGGCUGAUGACUGGGGUGAAGUCGUAACAAGGUAACC